AGGGUGGCACAAAGUGUCUGACUUCUGAUCGUGACCGACUAGUUCUCGACUUACUGACACCAGUUAGCAUACCAGUUCAGAAUUCAAUGCUCGCUAGACGAUAGCUAUCACAAAGCAGAUAAGGCAACCACAACCGUCAUAUCCUGAGAGUCUCAAACGACAGUUCUGCCACUACGUGCAACAUACGUUCCAGUUAGAUGGGAUCAUGCCAACCAGCUUACCA
RNAcentral lists this long non-coding RNA (223 nucleotides) under Elaeis guineensis (African oil palm). Its description in RNAcentral is "long non-coding RNA (EGUI_LNC024309)". Lineage: Eukaryota; Viridiplantae; Streptophyta; Magnoliopsida; Arecales; Arecaceae. The record is from RNAcentral.